UUCUCCGUCAAAACUCAAUGGGUACGGACUGUCUGACAGUUGCCGCUUAUAUAGCGGUUGAUUUCCCUCAAUUUUCACAUAUCAGUAAACAUGCAUUUUAAAUCAUUUUACAUACACAGUAUUUAAUGUUGCUACAUUGUUACAAUAUUGGCAAAUAUUCUUGAGUUCUCAUUCUUAAUCUCAAAUAUUAUGUUACACUUCUUGUUAACAUUUGUAACCAUAGUUGCUCCCGCUGGAUAUCUUGUUUAAUUAAUGUAUUACGGAUUUAUAAGAACAACCUCUAUGUGGCCCUAACUAACUCUGAGCCUAUUCCUCACCUUACCUAAAAGCUCUCCUUACCCUAAUCCUGCCUUUAUCUCUGUGAUAAAAAGAUUCCCUACUCCUCUCCGUAUCAAAGCCCUACCUCCUUACCCUAUCUGACCCUCUCUGUGUCCCCAUCCUUCUCUAAUCUGUCCAUUAAAAAAGAAAUGGAAGGAAAGAAAGGGAGAAGCCCAAAAUUAGUUCUAGUCUUCUACUUACUACCUAACUUGGAUCACCAUGAACAAUCUUAAGUUUUCA
Pelobates cultripes (western spadefoot toad) is the source of this 558-nucleotide non-coding RNA. The record is from the annotation of a GenBank genome assembly. Lineage: Eukaryota; Metazoa; Chordata; Amphibia; Anura; Pelobatidae.